This is a non-coding RNA of Pelobates cultripes (western spadefoot toad), 1135 nucleotides long. Lineage: Eukaryota; Metazoa; Chordata; Amphibia; Anura; Pelobatidae. The record is from the annotation of a GenBank genome assembly.
CAAAGAAUGACUUUAAGAAAGCCUGGAGGAAGUACCCCUAUGAAAUUAAUGUUAAAUAUUGAACAUCCUGGCCCCGAGGAUGCAGACCGAUAUGUAAUGGGAAUGUAUUGGAAGAAAGGUUCCUACAACAAAUUAGGUCAUUUCUACCUCAGAGAUAUGUCCCACUCUCCAGAGUGGCAAGGGGCUGAUCAUAUGGUCCCAAAUCCGCUAAAACCACAUAUCCAGUCCUUUAAAGAUAUGAUGGCCAUCGCUAACCCCACUUUUGAAGAUACCAUGGCCGCUGAAACUGGAUUCAAUGACAUUAGUUUGUGGUUAGAAUGGAUGAGGUAUAAUGCCAACAAACAUAAUAAAACAGCAUGUUAUGUAUGUGGCGGUGCCCGACCCCACCUUGGCACCGUCCCCCUAAUUCUCCCUUUAGAGAUAGAAGAUUGCUUCUUAAGCCUUUUUGCCUACCAAUAUGACUUUAAUAGGUCCCUCUGCAUGGCAUGGACGGCAGAAUACCCUCUCUUAGUUGAAAAUGUUAAGCCACCAGAUGGGGUCACAGUCUAUAGAGGUAAUUACACUUGUUAUGCCAUGUAUGACGGGAUUGGUAAAUUCAUGGGUAACUUUUCUAAAGGUUAUUGCGCCACUUACAGAACUGUUCCUAUACGCCUGUUGCAACACCAUACUAGGUCAUUGGGGGAUAUUUACUGGUUAUGUGGGGAUCUACAGUUAAGAUCUAGGCUGGAAACUGAGUGGUGGGGUGAGUGUACCCUGGCCAAAGUUAUCAUGCCCAUUCAUAUUAUUUCUGAUAAUCAUCAUGACACAUACGACCCUCCACAUACAUCAGCCAGAGUAAGGCGCGAAACCCCAGUAAAAGGCAGUUUUGACCCCCACAUUUACAUAGAUGCCAUUGGGGUGCCUAGGGGGGUGCCUAAUGAAUUUAAAGCUAGAGAUGAAGUAGCUGCAGGUUUUGAAUCACUUUUUACCAUAGUCACUGCCAACAAAAACCUUAAUUGGAUUAAUUAUAUCUAUUACAACCAACAGCGCUUCGUGAACUACACCAGGGAUGCCCUCCAGGGCUUGGCCGAGCAAUUACAGGCCACAUCCCAAAUGACCUUCCAGAACAGACUGGCCUUAGACAUGAUCUUAGCCG